This 75-nucleotide transfer RNA is filed under the name Forcipiger flavissimus. RNAcentral describes it as "tRNA-Lys". It matches the Rfam family "tRNA". Rfam says of the family: Transfer RNA (tRNA) molecules are approximately 80 nucleotides in length. Lineage: Eukaryota; Metazoa; Chordata; Actinopteri; Chaetodontiformes; Chaetodontidae. The record is from RNAcentral.
CACUAAUGAAGCUAAAUUGGGAAAAGCGUUAGCCUUUUAAGCUAAAAAAUGGUGGCUCCCACCCACCCGUAGUGA